ACCCGCACAAGCAGCGGAGCAUGUGGUUUAAUUCGAAGCAACGCGAAAGAACCUUACCAGAUCUUGACAUCCAAUUGACCAUCUUUUAAUCGAGAUUUUGCCUUCGGGUACAAUUGAGACAGGUGGUGCAUGGUUGUCGUCAGCUCGUGUCGUGAGAUGUUGGGUUAAGUCCCGCAACGAGCGCAACCCUUGUGUUUAGUUGCAAACAGGUCAAGCUGUGCACUCUAGACAGACUGCCGUGGACAACACGGAGGAAGGUGGGGAUGACGUCAAAUCAUCAUGCCCCUUAUGAUCUGGGCUACACACGUGCUACAAUGGCCGGUACAGAGCGCAGCGAGGCCGCGAGGCGGAGCGAAUCGCUUAAAGCCGGUCCCAGUACGGAUUGGAGUCUGCAACCCGACUCCAUGAAGUUGGAAUCGCUAGUAAUCGCGCAUCAGCAUGGCGCGGUGAAUACGUUCCCGGGCCUU
Molecule: ribosomal RNA, 467 nt
Filed under: uncultured Fusibacter sp.
Lineage: Bacteria; Bacillati; Bacillota; Clostridia; Eubacteriales; Fusibacteraceae
Description: bacterial SSU rRNA
Rfam family: Bacterial small subunit ribosomal RNA
Source: RNAcentral